This 465-nucleotide ribosomal RNA is filed under the name uncultured bacterium. RNAcentral describes it as "partial 16S ribosomal RNA". It matches the Rfam family "Bacterial small subunit ribosomal RNA", at positions 338 to 795 of the family's 1533-position model. The record is from RNAcentral.
CCUACGGGAGGCAGCAGUAGGGAAUCUUCCACAAUGGGCGAAAGCCUGAUGGAGCAACGCCGCGUGGGUGAAGAAGGUCUUCGGAUCGUAAAACCCUGUUGUUAGAGAAGAAAGUGCGUGAGAGUAACUGUUCACGUUUCGACGGUAUCUAACCAGAAAGCCACGGCUAACUACGUGCCAGCAGCCGCGGUAAUACGUAGGUGGCAAGCGUUAUCCGGAUUGAUUGGGCGUAAAGGGAACGCAGGCGGUCUUUUAAGUCUGAUGUGAAAGCCUUCGGCUUAACCGGAGUAGUGCAUUGGAAACUGGGAGACUUGAGUGCAGAAGAGGAGAGGGGAACUCCAUGUGUAGCGGUGAAAUGCGUAGAUAUAUGGAAGAACACCAGUGGCGAAAGCGGCUCUCUGGUCUGUAACUGACGCUGAGGUUCGAAAGCGUGGGUAGCAAACAGGAUUAGAUACCCCAGUAGUC